This is a long non-coding RNA of Myxocyprinus asiaticus (Chinese sucker), 1751 nucleotides long. RefSeq lists it as uncharacterized. The record is from RefSeq and is a predicted model, not a curated record. The transcript is spliced from 3 exons. NCBI's taxonomy places the organism in Eukaryota, Metazoa, Chordata, Actinopteri, Cypriniformes, Catostomidae.
AUGUUUAAUCAAGACAACUUAAUUUUCCCCGUAAUGACAACAAUAGGGUUACAGUAAACUCCAGGAUCCUAUUGUCUUUUCAUAUAUAUCAGGUAGGCCAAUGAAUUGGCUUUUUGAAUUCCACUGUGGUUUUACAAAACGUUAAAAUGUCUCAUCUGCACAGGGAAGAAAGUAAUUAACAUUUUAUUUAUAGAACACAGAUUUAAUUCAACCAAAAUGCUAGACGCCAAAUCACCUAAAACCCUUCCAGCUCUGGUUAGUCUAUCAGAGUCCUCUGUCCUAUUUUGCAGUUUCAUUAGGCCCCCUCAUUAAAUUAGGAUGGUGAAAUUGAAGUGGCUCCGUUUAAUGGCUUAUAAUUUGAGGGAAUGGUGUUGCCUCAAGUGUUUUCCACCAUCCAUCAGCCGAGACCAGGUAAACAGCGUCCGACUGGGUUUAAAUCUGAUCGUAAAAGAGUCCUUCACCCUUUCCAAAACCAGCAAGGUCUUUAUUUUGCAGCAUAUAUCCUGCAAUAUUGACGUUUCUGUCACAACUAUAUUUAGUACAUUUUAGAAAAGUGACAUUCUCAUACAGGUUACUUACAGUUUGACAGAAAUUGAACUUGAAAUGAAAAUUCUGUCAUCAUUUACUCAUCCUCAUGUUGUUCCAGACUCCGAUGACCCCUAAGGAAAUGUUAAGGAUAAUGUUUGCUUCAGUCACCAUUCACUUUCAUUGUGUGGAAAAAAAAAAAAAACACCAUCAACAUUCUUCAAAAAAUGUCCUCUUGUGUUUCAUGGAAGAAAGACUCUGCAAAGGCCUAACCUGUCACAAAACAUGAAAUUUAAAUGUCAGGACAAGCCCAGAGCCUGAUCUAUCUGCAAACUAUUAUCUGCAUGAGGAAAGAUGAUAAAUAAGACAUGCUGCUGAGAGCUACUGGCACACGAGGAUCCCCCCUGAGAUUUCUUGCAACAAAAAACCAAGGUAGUGCCUGGAGAAGUGAAUUUAUCAACCUGUGGAGGGAUAGUAACAAUUGGUUUUAAGUUAUUAAUAAAAUCCAGGGCAGACAGCACUUGGCCCGAACCUCGAGGUACAAUGUGAUGUUUUGCCCUUGAGAGCCAAAGCAAAAGCCACACUACAGUUUUACUUUGUUUUUCGAGUCCCUGCCAAGAUGUAUUUAUCACCACACUACCAAAAACACACACACAUACCACAUCUUAUGAAGAGUUCACUAUCUCAACUAAAAUGUCUGUUAAAUUGUGCUGCCAUAUUAUACCCUUGUGUAUCUUCUCUUUAUCUUAUAUUUGUAUGAAUCAUAUAAAGAUAAUGCUGAGGCAUAUACCAAUGGUUCCAGCUUUACAUUUUUGGUCAUUUCCCAUUUAAUAAGGAAAAUGUAAUUAAAGUUCUGAAAGUAGGUUGCUGUUCCCGUCCCUCCUCAUGUCAAUCACUAGGUGUCACUGUUGACACUUGCAACAUUUCUUUCCACAACAACUUUCAUCUUUAAAACAACUGCUUUUCUAUUCUGUUCUAUUAUUUAUUUGUUGAUGCAAUACAGUGAUACGAUUUUAUUGCAGUUCUGUAUUUUAAUUAACGCCAUUGUACAUUAAAUCACACUAAAAUAGAGAAGAUUGGUUGUUAGGUCAUGUUUCAAACUCUGCUGAAGAAAUGCACAGUUUGAUACAAUUGCAUUAGCCUCUGGUGGAGGCUAAAACAUGUUUGUUUUUUCCUCAAUUUAAGAUAUUGUUUUAAAUAAACACUUGGCGGUAAUAUGCACAUUU